RNAcentral lists this ribosomal RNA (274 nucleotides) under uncultured bacterium. Its description in RNAcentral is "partial 16S ribosomal RNA". It matches the Rfam family "Bacterial small subunit ribosomal RNA", at positions 523 to 796 of the family's 1533-position model. The record is from RNAcentral.
AUACGGAGGGGGUUAGCGUUGUUCGGAAUUACUGGGCGUAAAGCGCACGUAGGCGGAUUGGAAAGUUGGGGGUGAAAUCCCAGGGCUCAACCCUGGAACCGCCUCCAAAACUAACAGUCUAGAGUUCGAGAGAGGUGAGUGGAAUUCCAAGUGUAGAGGUGAAAUUCGUAGAUAUUUGGAGGAACACCAGUGGCGAAGGCGGCUCACUGGCUCGAUACUGACGCUGAGGUGCGAAAGCGUGGGGAGCAAACAGGAUUAGAAACCCUAGUAGUCC